AUGCCCGUAGUUCAGUCCAGUAGAACGCCGGUCUCCAAAACCGGGGGUCGCCGGAGCGAAGCCGGCCGGGUAUG
RNAcentral lists this transfer RNA (74 nucleotides) under Bifidobacterium platyrrhinorum. Its description in RNAcentral is "tRNA-Trp". It matches the Rfam family "tRNA". Rfam says of the family: Transfer RNA (tRNA) molecules are approximately 80 nucleotides in length. Lineage: Bacteria; Bacillati; Actinomycetota; Actinomycetes; Bifidobacteriales; Bifidobacteriaceae. The record is from RNAcentral.